GUCGUGUUUUAUCUAGACUGCAAGCGGUCCCUCCUUUCCGUGGGUUUAGAUUUCCGGGCAUGCGAAAGGAAAGGAGGGACUGCCGACAACACAUCAAGAAGAAACGAAAUACGCGUUGUCCACACAACGCAAAAUUCCCAUUGGUCGAAAUACUGUAGAUACUCCCGUCAAACAAAUCUGAUAAUCUUGACCGCGUAGCUCAGUUGGAAGAGCAUUGGUCUAGGUCGUAGGUUCGAUUCCCACCGUGGUCAAGCAUAAUUUUCAAGCUUGCCCAGUGUGGAUAUACACUCAGAGUAACGUCACAAGCAUCAAAUCUGAUACGUAGUAAUUAUGCUAUAAAUAAUUUCACGACUGAAUGUUGAUUUUAUAAAUAAUCAUGACAUUAACAGUUCAUAUUGGAUAGAUUUAAUUGGAUAUAAGUAAUUUUUAUGCAAAGGUGGAGUCAACUUAACAAGAGCGAAUUUCGUUUGUUGUUGUGUUGUCGACGGUCCCUCCUUUCUCCUGAGGGACUGUUCGCGGUCUAUGUUUUAUCAGAUAUACUGUAUCUGAUAAAACCAUAGAUAUCUUAUAUACACUAGAUAGCGCAACUCUUUUAGUAAAAUUGAAGCCAAGAAUAUUCCAGCGGUUACCCCCAUUUGAAUAGAUGGCGGCCAUAUUGGAGUUUCCCACUCGCUAAUAAACGCUUAAAAAACAAC
Molecule: non-coding RNA, 695 nt
Organism: Paramuricea clavata
Lineage: Eukaryota; Metazoa; Cnidaria; Anthozoa; Malacalcyonacea; Plexauridae
Source: the annotation of a GenBank genome assembly